Molecule: long non-coding RNA, 1146 nt
Organism: Homo sapiens (human)
Lineage: Eukaryota; Metazoa; Chordata; Mammalia; Primates; Hominidae
Source: Ensembl
AAGAGAUACCAGAAGGGAAACUGGGAAGCUGGAGGAGAAGGGGAGAGGACCAUGCCUUCCCUAGACAAAAGACAAAGCCUUUUGCUUCUGCUAUAAAUAGGACACCCUCAGGAAAGCUGGAGCUUCUAAUUCUUCCAGUGAUGGAACUCAGCAUAUGUCUGAGGAGCAGAGAAUUCAGAAGCUCCCAUGGGCCUCCCACAGCUGGAAUCUAAAACAACCACAGAAGUCUCAGAAAAGAGAAUAUAAAAGCAUACAACAAAAUAAAGGACUCAUAAGAGUACAGGGAUCACAUACAUGAAGUUGAACAAUGUUCGGUUUUAAUUCUUCACAAUUAUCAUUUGUAAGAUUGUAGACAACAGAUCACAUGUGGGAGAUGCUUGAAGUGGAGAAGUGUGUCUCCAAAAGUGUGAUAUCUACAAUGAAUCAUUUGGAAAGAGUCCUCAGCAAGCUGUGGUGUCUUAUGCCUGUAAUCCCAGCAGUUUGGGAGGUCGAUGUGGGUGGAUCGCUUGUGCCCAGGAAUUCAAGAUCACCCUGGCCAACAUGGUGAAACCCCAUCUCCACAAAAAAUACAACAAUUAGCUGGGCAUGGUGGCGCAUACCUGUAGUCCCAUCUCCUCGAGAGAGGCUGAGGCAUUGGCCAUGGAACCCCAAGUCUCCAGCCAUCUCCAGUUCUCUGCAGGCACUGAAUGUAUGUGCUAAGGCAAGCCAUCUGCAGCUGCUGCUUGAAGGGAGGUACAGAUACAACAGUUGGAAACCUUGGUCACCACAGCAGAGGUGUGGGGCCAAUCCACAAUGCAGUUGGAGCAUGUUAACUUAUGGAUGAAAUGACAGAGAAGACACAGUUGGCUUAGAAUUACAAUCAGGAGAAAGGAAUGUUCUUUUGCUAAUGAAAGAGGAGAAAUUGGCAAUGUUCCAGUCCCAAGUCUAGGCCUCGGGAGGCUUGCAUUUUGCCAAAUUAUGAUCCCCUUCUCAGCUGCUGCUCUUUCAGCAUGGACGCUAUCACAAACACAUGGAAAAUGGCCUUCCCUAGUUAAUCCCAGCCAAACCAAACCCAGGUGCAAACUAGAGCCACACAGCCAAACCCACCCUACACCAACCAUUCCCAGCUGAACUGUAUCCAUGAGAAUAAAUUAUUGUGGUUUUUCA